This is a long non-coding RNA of Pan troglodytes (chimpanzee), 959 nucleotides long. RefSeq lists it as uncharacterized. The transcript is spliced from 5 exons. The record is from RefSeq and is a predicted model, not a curated record. Lineage: Eukaryota; Metazoa; Chordata; Mammalia; Primates; Hominidae.
AUCCCGCUUCCCUCCUGCCUCGCCACUGCAGGCCUGUCCCUUUGCUUUCUUAAAACUGCGCACCGUCUGAGGCCACUUCGAGCCUACUGGAUCCCUGGUUCCGACCCAGUAGGAUCACAGAAGCAGGGCCAGCUGCCAGGAGAAAAAGUUGUUCUCUUCUACCAAAUUUUCCUGCCAUCAAAUGCUCAUCGAGUGACAAUAGAGAAAGCACCAUCAUCCUCAAGCAUCAGAUUGGGAGAAAAGUCCGCUCUCGAGAGCAUCAACUAUGUAGAAAGGGGACCAACCUAUGUUAUAUCUGCCUUAGUGCAUGGGCUGCUGGUCAAUGCUAAUAGCUGGCUCUCAGGGAAAAAAGAAAAACCAUCUGUGGCAUCUGCCAAUUUCUGUGGUGUAAAUACUCUGAGCUCUGCCAAUUUCAAGCCAUCCAUCUGACAUUGCUGAACCCAAAGUUGGCAAGGGAUGUGCACAAUUGCCUUUUGCAAGCAAGCUUCUGCAAAAGACUUGAGACAGCUCACAAUGAAGUACUCUGUAUUAGGCAGGGUAAUAUUGAUUGCAAGUGACAGAAACCCAAUCAGAAACUCACUGGAGUCAUGAGGAACACUUAUUGGCUCAGACAGAGUCUCGCUUUGUCAUCCAGGCUGGUGUUCAGUGGCGCAAUCUGGGCUAACUGCAAACUCCGCCUCCUGGGUUCUAGCAAUUCUCCUGCCUCAGCCUCUCAAGUAGCUGGGAUUCUAGGCAUGCACCACCACACUCAACUAAUUUUUGUAAUUUUUAGUAGAGACAAGAUUUCCCUAUAUUGGCCAGGCUGGUCUUGAACUCCUGGCCUCAAGUAAUCUGCCUGCCUUGGCCUCCCAAAGUGCCGAAAUUACAGGUGUGAGCCACCACACUUGGCUAAGACUACUAAUUUCUAAUGCUGCUUCUGUCAUAUACCACAUGUGUAUGUAUUAAAGUUGUUAAGUUUC